Molecule: long non-coding RNA, 858 nt
Organism: Salvia splendens (bonfire salvia)
Lineage: Eukaryota; Viridiplantae; Streptophyta; Magnoliopsida; Lamiales; Lamiaceae
Exons: 2
Source: RefSeq, a predicted model, not a curated record
UUGCAAAUAAAAUGAGUGGUGGUGAUGAGUGGAUUUUGAUAGAUUUUUGGUCAAGCAUGUUUGGAUCAAGGGUUAGGAUUGCACUUGCGGAGAAAGGGAUUGUUUAUGAGAGAAGGGAAGAAGAUUUUCCUAAGAAAAGCCGGCUUUUGUUGGAGAUGAAUCCGACUUACCACAAAAUCCCGGUUCUGAUUCACAACGGCAACCCUAUUUGCGAGUUUUGGAACAUUGUGCAGUAUAUCGAUGAAGUAUGUUGCUUCGAGCCGUUUCUCCUUCCUUGUGAUCCUUAUGAGGGAGCUCAGACGAGGUUUUGGGCUCAUUUCAUUGACCACAAGCUACACUCCGCGAGUAUAUAGACGAUGUUGUACGAGACGAAGGAAGAGUUGGAGGCUGCCGAGAAGGAGAUGGUCGAGCACCUGAAAUUACUCCAAGAUGAGCUUGGUGAGAAGGCUUAUUUUGGAGGGGAGGAAGUGGGAUAUCUGGAUGUGAUUUUAGGUGGAUUUUGCACCUGGUUUUCCAUAUAUCAAGACAUGGGAAGCUUCAGCAUCCUUGAUGAGCUCCUUAAGCUCAUGGCCUGGGCUCACUGAUGCAUGGAGAGCCGGACCUUCUCCGAAUCUCUCUCCAACCCUGACCGGCUUCACGAUCUCAUGCAUGAUCAGAAGACGCAAGGGCAUCAAAUGAAUUCAUGGAUCAAUCUGUAUUGGUGCAGUGCUGUUGGUGUUAUAGAAUAAAAAACUCAAUACUAGUUACUUAGGGUUUAUCUUUGUGGGUGUGGGAAAAUGGGGAUAAAUCUGAACCAUUCAAUCCAAGCUUACAAGGUUUGUGUUAUGAUCAGUUCAAGAAUACCUCAAACUUUGCUUC